RNAcentral lists this ribosomal RNA (379 nucleotides) under halophytic pentatomid WCW-2003. RNAcentral describes it as "eukaryotic LSU rRNA". It matches the Rfam family "Eukaryotic large subunit ribosomal RNA", at positions 649 to 984 of the family's 3401-position model. The record is from RNAcentral. Lineage: Eukaryota; Metazoa; Arthropoda; Insecta; Hemiptera; Pentatomidae.
CCGUCUUGAAACACGGACCAAGGAGUCUAGCGUGUGCGCGAGUCAUUGGGUGUAUAAAACCUAAAGGCGCAAUGAAAGUGUCCCUUGGGGUGCUCGCAUCCCGUCGGGAGGAUGGGCCUCCGUACGAUAACUCGUCGGAGCCCCGCACUCCCGGGGCGUCUCGUUCUCGUGUCACGAGUGGAGACGCACCAGGAGCGCACACGCUGGUACCCGAAAGAUGGUGAACUAUGCCUGGCCAGGACGAAGCCAGGGGAAACCCUGGUGGAGGUCCGAAGCGAUUCUGACGUGCAAAUCGAUCGUCUGAGCUGGGUAUAGGGGCGAAAGACCAAUCGAACCAUCUAGUAGCUGGUUCCCUCUGAAGUUUCCCUCAGGAUAGCUA